RNAcentral lists this ribosomal RNA (433 nucleotides) under uncultured bacterium. Its description in RNAcentral is "partial 16S ribosomal RNA". It matches the Rfam family "Bacterial small subunit ribosomal RNA", at positions 29 to 507 of the family's 1533-position model. The record is from RNAcentral.
AACGAACGCUGGCGGCAUGCCUAACACAUGCAAGUCGAACGAGAGCUUCGGAACUAGUGGCGCACAGGUGCGUAACGCGUGGGAACCUGCCCUUAGGCUCGGAAUAACUCUCCGUAAGGGGUGCUAAUACCGGAUAAUGUCUUCGGACCAAAGAUUUAUCGCCUUUGGAUGGGCCCGCGUUGGUUUAGCUUGUUGGUAGGGUAAGAGCCUACCAAGGCGACGCUCCAUAGCUGGUCUGAGAGGAUGAUCAGCCACACUGGGACUCAGACACGGCCCAGACUCCUACAGGAUGCAGCAGUGGGGAAUAUAGGACAAUGGGCGAAAGCCUGAUGCAGCAAGGCCGCGUGAGUGAUGAAGGUCUUAGGGUUGUAAAGCACUUUUACCCGGGAUGAUAAUGACAGUACCGAAAGAAUAAGCUCCGGCUAACUCCGUG